RNAcentral lists this ribosomal RNA (412 nucleotides) under Sminthurinus bimaculatus. RNAcentral describes it as "partial 28S ribosomal RNA". The record is from RNAcentral. Lineage: Eukaryota; Metazoa; Arthropoda; Collembola; Symphypleona; Katiannidae.
CCUCUCGGGGGUAAGCGGGCAGAAUCUACAAGUAUUGAUGGGAGAUUCAGGCUUAGUACUGAUGGCUGAGAGUUUAAAGUUAAGUUGAUCAUUCGUGAUUUGGCUAUUUUGUACUUUCUGAUCCGUUGGUAAUGCGCCGCAUUUCUCCUUAUCAUCCGGGUUGCAUGCAACUGAAAUGGUAUUUUAGGUGCUGAAUUACUGUAAAUCCUCGUGGUUUAAGUUUUUGGUUUCCAAAUACUUUUGCGGUUGUUGUUAAGCGAACAGGCGUUCAUUCGCGGUCAAAUAUUUGGACGAGUUGUGUAUAUAUUUCGUAUGGACGGGUAACCGUAGUACGAUUUAUGUACUAAUUGUCGGUCUGAGUAUUUUUGGCUCUGUUCAGAAUUGCAAUCUAAAGCAUGUGUGAUCUGCCUGU